RNAcentral lists this ribosomal RNA (835 nucleotides) under uncultured archaeon. RNAcentral's name for it is "bacterial SSU rRNA". It matches the Rfam family "Archaeal small subunit ribosomal RNA", at positions 46 to 889 of the family's 1478-position model. The record is from RNAcentral.
AAGCCAUGCGAGUCGAGAGGGUUCGGCCCUCGGCGUACUGCUCAGUAACACGUGGAUAACCUGCCCUAGGGAAGGGGAUAACCCCGGGAAACUGGGGAUAAUACCCUAUAGAUUACAGAUGCUGGAAUGCCCUGUAAUCCAAAGUUCCGACGCCCUAGGAUGGAUCUGCGGCCGAUUAGGUUGUUGUUGGGGUAAUGGCCCAACAAGCCCGUAAUCGGUACGGGUUGUGGGAGCAAGAGCCCGGAGUUGGAUUCUGAGACACGAAUCCAGGCCCUACGGGGCGCAGCAGGCGCGAAAACUUUACAAUGCGGGCAACCGUGAUAAGGGAACCUCGAGUGCCUGUAAAUGCAGGCUGUUCAGGUGCCUAAAACACACCUGAAGAAAGGGCCGGGCAAGACCGGUGCCAGCCGCCGCGGUAAUACCGGCGGCUCGAGUGGUGGCCGCUUUUAUUGGGCUUAAAGCGUUCGUAGCUGGGUUGUUAAGUCUCUUGGGAAAUCUGGCGGCUUAACCGUCAGGCGUCUAAGGGAUACUGGCAAUCUUGGAACCGGGAGAGGUGAGGGGUACUUCGGGGGUAGGAGUGAAAUCCUGUAAUCCUCGAGGGACCACCUGUGGCGAAGGCGCCUCACCAGAACGGCUUCGACAGUGAGGGACGAAAGCUGGGGGAGCAAACCGGAUUAGAUACCCGGGUAGUCCCAGCCGUAAACUAUGCGCGUUAGGUGUAUCGGUGACCACGAGUUACCGAGGUGCCGAAGGGAAACCGUGAAACGUGCCGCCUGGGAAGUACGGUCGCAAGGCUGAAACUUAAAGGAAUUGGCGGGGGAGCACCACAACAGGU